AAGAAAAAUGUCACUUUGCGACACUUAGGUUGCAACAACUUGACUAUAACCGUCGCAAUGUGUUAAUUUUAAAAAAUUUGCAACGGUUUAUGCGACACUUAGCUCAACCGUCGCAAUAUUUUGGCUUUUUAAAGCUUCCAUUAGUGCCCAUUGAAAUUUUUGGCUCUCACUCACUUAAUACCAAAAAAUAAAAACACAUACACAAAAAAAGUGAAAAAACACAUUUCAUUGAGAAAUCCCUAAAUCCCAAAACACUGUCUUCAUCGUUCCCGCCGCCACCACACUCACACUCCGGCGCAACUUUCUUCAUCGUUCCCUUCAAGAGAAGUGAAUGAGUUCAUCAUUCUCUCCAAUCGUUCUCUUAAGGUAUCAAAACUCACUCUCUCCAAUCUCUUUACUGUUCCCGUCGAGAGAAGUAAGAUCUGUCGUUCUUCCAAAACUCGACUGCUCUGUCUAUCUAACAUCCACCUCCAUCACCAAGAAUCAAGUCUCAAAUUUUAGUUUCAUGCCUCUUUUCUCUAUUUGGCAAAGAAUCUCCACAAACCUAAACCCCAAUUCCGAAAUUUUCCCAAUUCCUCCAUUAUUAGUUCAUGCAUGUACGAAUUAAGGCUUCAAACUCUCAUUUCAUACCAAAAGGAAAGUCAAGAAUCCUUUUUCACGGCUUGUAUUCAUGAGUUUUACUAUGGGUUGGAGCAUUUCAAGUAUUGGAGGUAAUCUAGGAUUUUCCCGAUGGGUUUUACUCGCUCAAGCCGCACAAACGGGUAACUGAAGCUUGAAGUUUCGUUUUCCUUUUAAGUUCCAGAAGUUCCCUUGACACAUGAGGUUGGAAGUUUGGAUUGAAAAGAAUUAUAAGACGAGAUUCAAUUGGAGCACUAGAAUAGAUUGGAGAACAAGCUUUUGAUGUAGACUAUGUUGUGGUUGUAAUAAUCAAGUGUUGAGAGAGGUGAGUUCCAUAGCUAGAAAUCCUUACCAAUAUUAGUCUCCCCACUAUUCUCAUGGAGAAUUGGGUUUACGGGUAGUUAGAAUUAGAAUCUAUUUCAUGAGAAAUUGCACUUUGAUGAGAUUGCCCCUUUAGAUUAGUUCUCUCAAAUUGUAUAGAUUUAAUGCAUGUUGUUUAUGAAUCUUGGUGACUUCCCUUGUCCUUGUUGUGCUACUAACUGUUGGCCUAAAUUGUCACUAAAAUGCAUCUAGAGUAAGGCUAGGACUGUGUGAGGAUAAUGGUACAAACUGAAUUUUUUUGCAGGAAACGGGUCACCUGGGCAUUCUGCCCUCUGCGUCAGGGGCGUGGACCACUGCGCUGGAAGCGCAAAUAACAGUGUUUCCCAGACUGUUCCUGCGCCUGGAGUUACAUCCAGCAGCCCCGUUUGCAUUGUUUUGCAUUUCCGGAUGCUUUUGGGACACCGUAAUGUCCCUAAUGGAAUAAGAUCAUAUAGGAAUGAAAAAUAUAGUAGUUAGCUUAAUAAAUUGCAUAGGUUGGGUAGGGAAAACAAACUGAAUACUAUGGACUAGAUGUAUUAUAAGUUAAUUCAGGACAGGUAAGAAUAUUGACAGUUGAUCUUGAAAUGUAGUGGACUUUGGGCCACAAGUGUUAGAUUUCUAAUGCUAAAUGUCUAUGAUGAAUAAUAUGUUAAGUUGUGGUCUAUAAGGCACCAGAAAGGCUUCCUUAUGUAGGAGUUGGAGCUGGAUUGAAAUUCUAUAUAGAAUUUCACACAACGAUAAGAUGAGGUAUGACCAUACGCUUUAGCCCUGAUAUGAUAGGGAAUUUAGCCGGGUAUGUAAGGGAAUGGUUCGAGACUACUCACCUCGAAUUAUUCCGUAAAAUCAACUCAGACAAAUAAUUGUGUCACACUUUAUUUGCAUUAUACCGAAAAUAAUCGUGAAAUGAAUAUGUAUAUGUUUAUGUAAUUGAUCAACUGUCAGGACAAAAGAUAUUAGUACCACCCUAAGAUAGGUGGGAUUCACUGAGGCUUUAUGUCUCAUCCCACUCCUUUUUAUUUUUUUCAGAUAAGCAGAUUAAACGAGUCAGGGGUAAGAAGAAACUACGGAUUGAAGAUGGAAGAUUUUAUUACAUUAGUUUCUUCCUUGCUUUGUUAGAUUAGUCUGAUAGAUAUGUCUGAUGAUUAUUUACCAUUGUGUAAUGGAACUUUCAUUUCCUUGUACCUGAUAUAGAAUUUAGGUACUUGUUUCUUUUGAACAAGCUAUUCUAUAAAUUUUAAUGUAUCUGAACCUCAAUUAUGUAUAUCUUGGUCAAUAUUCUAGACAUUUGACAUUUGGAUGUUACAAGGAGGUCAUUGAACUUAUAUAGUUUUACUGUGCUUAUGUUAUUGAAAAUCAUAAUCCGUUUCCAUGUUGAUAUUUGAAGGUAGGGAAUCCUCUUAUGGAGUUAAAUAUGUUCUCAAUUCAAGAGCAGAGUUCUUAUGGUUCCAUGGACUGAUUUCAAAUUCUGCUUUCAAAUGUUAAGGAUGAGAAGCCAACCAACUGGUAGUUUGCAGAAUCUGUUCAGAUGAAGGGGAAACCAAUCACACAUAACACAAAUUGCUAUGUUCUGUUUCUAAAGUCUGAAUGCGAACCCUCUGCGAGACCACCGUGAGACCAUGCAAAAGUUGUUUGCUACCACACCAUCACUAUUUUCAAUCAAUGGCUCCAGUUGUAGUGGGAGAUGUGAUUCCAGACGGAGCUUAAUUUUGUUGCCCUUAUUUGUUGUCAUUUGUGUGUGUGCGCUAUAGGUCCGGGGUUUUUAAUGAUUGAGUCCAUUCGUUUUUUUAAGUAUCCUAAUAUAUAUUUAUGUUUUUCCAGGUAACCGAAUAAGAAAAGUCAAGAGAUGGUAGCACUAAUCAAGGAUUAUGAAGCAACAUCAUGUACCAGGGAAUGUUUAGAUAUUUUAAGAACUUAUUUUGCCAUAAGGGAAUGUUUUGUAUGUUUAACCACUAUACUAAUGUUUAUGUUUUAGUUUUUCAAUGUUUGAACUACAUUGAUUUUUUUUCCGUUUGGAACUUCAAGAUUAUGGAUGUUGUCACUACUUAAUGAAUUAUGGAUGUUAAGUCACUAAAUGAAUUAUAUAAAUGAGAUUAAGUUAUUUAUAUUUA
This is a long non-coding RNA of Trifolium pratense (red clover), 3086 nucleotides long. RefSeq lists it as uncharacterized. NCBI's taxonomy places the organism in Eukaryota, Viridiplantae, Streptophyta, Magnoliopsida, Fabales, Fabaceae. The transcript has 5 exons. The record is from RefSeq and is a predicted model, not a curated record.